This 443-nucleotide ribosomal RNA is filed under the name uncultured bacterium. RNAcentral's name for it is "partial 16S ribosomal RNA". It matches the Rfam family "Bacterial small subunit ribosomal RNA", at positions 338 to 795 of the family's 1533-position model. The record is from RNAcentral.
CCUACGGGAGGCUGCAGUGGGGAAUAUUUGGCAAUGGGCGCAAGCCUGACCCAGCAACGCCGCGUGAAGGAAGAAGGCUUUCGGGUUGUAAACUUCUUUUCUCAGGGACGAAGCAAGUGACGGUACCUGAGGAAUAAGCCACGGCUAAAUACGUGCCAGCAGCCGCCGUAAUACGUGGGUGGUAAGCGUUAUCCGGAUUUACUGGGUGUAAAGGGCGGGUAGGCGGGACUGCAAGUCAGCUGUGAAAACCAUGGGCUCAACCUACGGCCUGCAGUUGAAACUGUAGUUCUUGAGUACUGGAGAGGCAGACGGAAGUCCUGGUGUAGCGGUGAAAUGCGUAGAUAUUAGGAGGAACACCAGUGGCGAAGGCGGGCUGCUGGACAGCAACUGACGCUGAGGCGCGAAGGCGUGGGGAGCGAACAGGAGUAGAUACCCCUGUAGUC